This 374-nucleotide ribosomal RNA is filed under the name uncultured organism. Its description in RNAcentral is "bacterial SSU rRNA". It matches the Rfam family "Bacterial small subunit ribosomal RNA", at positions 526 to 896 of the family's 1533-position model. The record is from RNAcentral.
CGGGGGGAGCAAGCGUUGUUCGGAUUUACUGGGCGUAAAGGGCGCGUAGGCGGUCAGCACAAGUCAGUUGUGAAAUCUCCGAGCUUAACUCGGAAAGGUCAACUGAUACUGUGCGACUAGAGUGCAGAAGGGGCAACUGGAAUUCUCGGUGUAGCGGUGAAGUGCGUAGAUAUCGAGAGGAACACCUGCGGCGAAGGCGGGUUGCUGGGCUGACACUGACGCUGAGGCGCGAAAGCUAGGGGAGCGAACGGGAUUAGAUACCCCGGUAGUCCUAGCCUUAAACGAUGAAUGCUUGGUGUCUGGGGUUAUAUAGUCCCCGGGUGCCGUCGCUAACGCUUUAAGCAUUCCGCCUGGGGAGUACGGUCGCAAGACUG